CUGGCGGCAUGCUUUACACAUGCAAGUCGAACGGCAGCACGGGUGCUUGCACCUGGUGGCGAGUGGCGGACGGGUGAGUAAUACAUCGGAACGUAUCCAGAAGAGGGGGAUAACGCAUCGAAAGAUGUGCUAAUACCGCAUAUUCUCUGAGGAGGAAAGCAGGGGAUCGCAAGACCUUGCGCUUUUGGAGCGGCUGAUGUCUGAUUAGCUAGUUGGUGGGGUAAAGGCCUACCAAGGCGACGAUCAGUAGUUGGUCUGAGAGGACGACCAGCCACACUGGGACUGAGACACGGCCCAGACUCCUACGGGAGGCAGCAGUGGGGAAUUUUGGACAAUGGGCGCAAGCCUGAUCCAGCAAUGCCGCGUGAGUGAAGAAGGCCUUCGGGUUGUAAAGCUCUUUCAGUCGAGAAGAAAAGGCUGUGGUAAAUAAUCACAGUUCAUGACGGUAUCGACAGAAGAAGCACCGGCUAACUACGUG
This 478-nucleotide ribosomal RNA is filed under the name uncultured bacterium. Its description in RNAcentral is "bacterial SSU rRNA". It matches the Rfam family "Bacterial small subunit ribosomal RNA", at positions 36 to 507 of the family's 1533-position model. The record is from RNAcentral.